This 73-nucleotide transfer RNA is filed under the name Marmota monax (woodchuck). Its description in RNAcentral is "tRNA.Ala". It matches the Rfam family "tRNA". From Rfam's summary of the family: Transfer RNA (tRNA) molecules are approximately 80 nucleotides in length. Their secondary structure includes four short double-helical elements and three loops (D, anti-codon, and T loops). Lineage: Eukaryota; Metazoa; Chordata; Mammalia; Rodentia; Sciuridae. The record is from RNAcentral.
GUGGGAUUGUGGCUCAGUGGUAGAGCACUCACCUAGCAUGUGUGAGGCCCUGGGUUCAAUCCUCAGCACCACA